GAGAGCCGGAUGCGGUGGAAGUCGCACGUCCGGUUCGGGAGGCGGGCCGCAGAAACGGACCGGUCGAAAGACCGGCACCGCGCUGCGGCCCGACCCCAC
This 99-nucleotide non-coding RNA is filed under the name Modestobacter marinus. Lineage: Bacteria; Bacillati; Actinomycetota; Actinomycetes; Geodermatophilales; Geodermatophilaceae. The record is from RNAcentral.